CCUACGGGAGGCAGCAGUGAGGAAUAUUGGUCAAUGGACGAGAGUCUGAACCAGCCAAGUAGCGUGAAGGAUGACUGCCCUAUGGGUUGUAAACUUCUUUUAUAUGGGAAUAAAAUGUUCCACGUGUGGGAUUUUGUAUGUACCAUAUGAAUAAGGCUCGGCUAACUCCGUUCCAGCAGCCGCGGUAAUACGGAGGAUCCGACCGUGAUCCGGAUUUAUUGGGUUUACAGGGAGCGUAGGUGGAUUGUUAAGUCAGUUGUGAAAGUUUGCGGUGCAACCGUAAAAUUGCAGUUGAAACUGGCAGUCUUGAGUACAGUAGAGGUGGGCGGAAUUCGUGGUGUAGCGGUGAAAUGCUUAGAUAUCACGAAGAACUCCGAUUGCGAAGGCAGUUCACUGGACUGCAACUGACACUGAGGCUCGAAAGUGUGGGUAUCAAACAGGAUUAGAUACCCGGGUAGUC
RNAcentral lists this ribosomal RNA (460 nucleotides) under uncultured bacterium. RNAcentral's name for it is "partial 16S ribosomal RNA". It matches the Rfam family "Bacterial small subunit ribosomal RNA", at positions 338 to 795 of the family's 1533-position model. The record is from RNAcentral.